UAGGGGGCAAGCGUUAUCCGGAUUUACUGGGUGUAAAGGGAGCGUAGACGGCAGGGCAAGUCUGGAGUGAAAGCCCGGGGCCCAACCCCGGGACUGCUUUGGAAACUGCCCUGCUGGAGUGCUGGAGAGGUAAGUGGAAUUCCUAGUGUAGCGGUGAAAUGCGUAGAUAUUAGGAGGAACACCAGUGGCGAAGGCGGCUUACUGGACAGUAACUGACGUUGAGGCUCGAAAGCGUGGGGAGCAAA
Molecule: ribosomal RNA, 245 nt
Filed under: uncultured bacterium
Lineage: Bacteria
Description: partial 16S ribosomal RNA
Rfam family: Bacterial small subunit ribosomal RNA
Source: RNAcentral